GUUUGUUGUCACAUCAUUAUUUUCGGACUCUGUGAAAUUGCUAAUGAGGAACAGGCUGCUUUCAUUGGAACAGUUGUAUGUGUUUAAGGCUGCAGUGAGAUGUAUAUGGACCAGGCUAAACCACUGGCACAGGAAAGGUUAACGUUCUCCUUGCACUAACCAUCGACCACAGGUGUUUGUCCUCACUGCAUUUGUUACCAGGGAGCCCAGUUGGGUGAGGCUGGAGCCAACUUCAGCUGUAGUGGAUUAGCUUCUGAGCAAGAGAUUAUAAACCAUGUAAUCUGGCAUGUGAGACUCUUUCUGGUAGCUGAGGUAGGAACAACUGCUGUACUGGAGGAAGAUAAUGCCAAGAACUCUUUUGCUUGAUCCUCUAGGCUAUGAGCUGUUGCUUUAGAUGACCUUGGGAAUUUGUUCAGAUGGAUCAGAUUUCCCCCUGCUCAAGGUUGCUAUCAGCCAGCGUGGAUGACAGUCUAGGACCUCGGCCUGAGAGAUACAUAGAGACCGGAUCAUAUUCCACCAUAUUCUAUAGUCUACUUGGCUACUGCAGUCCUUCUAGUUCUGUGCCUUCCCUGCAUCUCUGCUUCCCUAUCUGCAGUGAGUGACAGGAUGGUGAUUUGCUGUCUCUGCAGUUUUAGGACCUCAUGAAUCCUAGGGCAAAUUCUCUCUCUCCUUCCAUUUAUGCACCAAACAAGACUUUCAGGAGGUGCCAAAAGUCUCCUGUAGGACUGAAGGACUUGGAUGUCACACAGCAUCCUCUCCAGCUGCCUGUGAUCAACAGUAACCUUACUGUAUUUCCCCACCUUGAUGAAAGGCAGCUCACAAGAUUGAAAUAACGGGCUUCAGAAGCAAGUGUGGCGUUAUACCACAUUAAUCCUCUGACACAGUAUUCAUCUGAAUGCCACAAUGGCUGCGAUACUCCUGUACAGACAUGUGAUUCAUUUACCAGCUUUUGCCAUAAUUAUCCUGCUCAGAAUUAGAAAGGAUUAAAUGCAACUUGGUGGUCCACGCACUGAAGAGAAGCAAUGGAAAUUUAUUUAUUUGUUAAAUAAGUGGUCCUAAUCACCUUUGUGAAGUAUUUUCCCAUAAUCACUGUUUUUAACAACUUAUCGCAAUAAAUGUUUGUUAGUAGCCA
RNAcentral lists this long non-coding RNA (1132 nucleotides) under Coturnix japonica (Japanese quail). RNAcentral's name for it is "lncRNA (ENSCJPG00005014689.1)". The record is from RNAcentral. Lineage: Eukaryota; Metazoa; Chordata; Aves; Galliformes; Phasianidae.